This 767-nucleotide long non-coding RNA is filed under the name Salvator merianae (Argentine black and white tegu). RNAcentral's name for it is "lncRNA (ENSSMRG00000010366.1)". Lineage: Eukaryota; Metazoa; Chordata; Lepidosauria; Squamata; Teiidae. The record is from RNAcentral.
GAGAAAAUCUGGCUCUCCAGGAACGGCUGAGGCAAAGCUCCAGUGGGCCGCUCAACACCCUCCGAGCGGAAGAGACAGAGGACGAAUGGACCCCAAAUGGUAAGGUCCACUGCAUUGUUUCUCACUUCUUGGAAGCACCUGGGCCUCUUUCCCCAAUGAUGGAGAACCCUCUCCUAUAACUAGGAUACACCUGGCCACCCUCGUGUCAAGUCUGGAGAUAAAACCAGUUUGUCGUUUCAUUCUCCUUCUCUAGAACCUUCUGCAGGGCCCGUUCUGUUNAGCCAAGAGGUGAACGAGACGAGCCGCCUGAUAGCUCUAGAACGGGAGAACCAGGAGUUGUACAGGAGGCUGCAGGAAGCCCUAGAGAACCCAGNGGAACCCAGGCAUUCGCUGUUAGAACCUCAGAACACAGCCCUCGGCCGAAAGCUGGAGUUGCUGCAAAGCCAGGGGGAAGAGGCCACGGGAGAGCAGGCCUCAGACCUUCAGGAACACCUUCCAGAAGCUCAACAGCAGCAGAANAGUGAGGAGAUGGUUUCAGAAAAAAGGGAAAGCCACGUCUUGGGNCACAGGUCUGAGGUGUUGGUGCUGGAAACGGAGGCGGCUUUGGCAGACGCUCGUGCCCAGCUGCGGGAGGCUGUGCAGAAGCGGGAGGCAGAGACCCGCCGAGCGUCAGACCUCGAGGACCUUCUCCGGACUCUCCGGGACGGUCACACCGACACCCUGGAGAAACACGAGGAAGAGCGUCAGCAGUGGCACACGGAAACCGA